UUAAAGUUUUAAGCCAUAAUGAAGAAUCGUUUUUGAGAUACAGUGCGACAUGUGAAAAAAACACACCCCUGUUUUAGUUACAAAGUGCCGUAACUCAAAAAGUUUAAAUCUUAUUUUCAUCAAAAAGUAUACAGAUCAUUUGACCAUCAUAAGAAACAACUAUAUUAAGUUUCAUGAAAUUUGGAUAAGUCGUUCUCAAGUUAUGGUGCGACAUGUUUACGCCAGUCAGACAGACGGACGGACAUCGGACAUUUGUAUACCAUAAUACGUCCCGUCAAAAUUUUGACGGGC
This 291-nucleotide long non-coding RNA is filed under the name Mytilus galloprovincialis (Mediterranean mussel). The record is from RNAcentral. Lineage: Eukaryota; Metazoa; Mollusca; Bivalvia; Mytilida; Mytilidae.